GACGAACGCUGGCGGCGUGCCUAAUACAUGCAAGUCGAGCGAAGUUUUUCCGGUGCUUGCACCGGAAAAACUUAGCGGCGAACGGGUGAGUAACACGUAAAGAACCUGCCUCAUAGACUGGGACAACUAUUGGAAACGAUAGCUAAUACCGGAUAAUAGCAUUAACUGCAUGGUUGAUGUUUAAAAGUUGGUUUUGCUAACACUAUGAGAUGGCUUUGCGGUGCAUUAGCUAGUUGGUGGGGUAAAGGCCUACCAAGGCGACGAUGCAUAGCCGACCUGAGAGGGUGAUCGGCCACACUGGGACUGAGACACGGCCCAGACUCCUACGGGAGGCAGCAGUAGGGAAUCUUCCGCAAUGGGCGAAAGCCUGACGGAGCAACGCCGCGUGAGUGAAGAAGGAUUUCGGUUCGUAAAGCUCUGUUGUUAGGGAAGAAUGAUUGUGUAGUAACGAUACACAGUAGAGACGGUACCUAACCAGAAAGCCACGGCUAACUACGUG
This 499-nucleotide ribosomal RNA is filed under the name uncultured bacterium. Its description in RNAcentral is "partial 16S ribosomal RNA". It matches the Rfam family "Bacterial small subunit ribosomal RNA", at positions 28 to 507 of the family's 1533-position model. The record is from RNAcentral.